Small nuclear RNA from Jaculus jaculus (lesser Egyptian jerboa), 104 nucleotides. NCBI's taxonomy places the organism in Eukaryota, Metazoa, Chordata, Mammalia, Rodentia, Dipodidae. The record is from Ensembl.
CUCAUUUCAGCAAGAUAUACAUGAAAAAUGGAACAACACUGGGAUGGUAGCAUGGCCCCUGAGCAAGGAUGGCACACAAAGUUUGUCAAGGAUUCUGUAUUUCC